CGCCGUGACGUCACGGGCCGCCCGCCAGCUCCGCUCGGGCGGGCAGAGCGCGUGCGGCCGCUGAGCACAUGGGCCCGCGGGCCGGCGGGGCGCGGGGCGGCCCGCAGCGGGAGACGGCCGCGAGGGACCGCGGCCACGAUGCACCCCGGCACCGGCCCGCACCCUCCCCGAGUGGAUUUCCACGCCGAAAGGAUGUCGGCGGGCCCGGGUGACCCGCGGGGGACGCGGCUCGAUCGACCUCCCCGCCUGAUCCUGUGACCCAAAAGGAGGGAAGAAGAGGGUUCCUCCCAAGAGAGCCGUGCCUGUCAGCUUCACAGGGGCGCACAGGUGCACGAAACUCCACAGGAGGAUUUUCUGCGCUUUGAUGGAGUGGCAGCGCUGCUCCGUGAGCGGGAAGCAGCCCUCCUGCAGCCACACGCUUGCUGACUCCCUGCUUCUCUGGAGGCCAGCAUGAGUCACCAGCACAGUCCCAGCCCGAUCCUCGGGGAUCCCCCCAACCUGGAUGUCUGCACGGUCACCGAGGCCCGGAGCUGCGCCCAGGAGUGGAACUCUCUCUCUCGUCCCCUUCCGUCCACGCAUUGGCCACGGCUCUCCGGGAAAUGAAUCCGCCCAUGCCUCUGUUCCUCCGGCGUGUUCCCCAGUCAGCCCGGCAGCUCGCCUCCCAAGGAAGGCAGCCGGUGGGCUGCAGCGACCAGGCAGAGGAGAGCCGGUGGGGGAGGGGGUAUGAUGACAGCGAUCACGAUGCUGCCAGUACGGCCCACGAUAAUGAUCAAAUCACCAUCGGCAGCGUUGUUCACGAUUGCCCAAAUCUGGAAACAACCCAAGUAUUUGAGAACAGACCACUGGAUAAAGGAGCUGGUACCUGUAUGCAGUACUCGGCAAGAAGGAACGAUGAACUCAUGCAAUUUGGGCACUACUGGAAGAUACUGUUCUGAGUGAAGUCAGCCAGGAAUUGAGGGGACAUAUACAGCAAGAUCCUUUCGGUAUGUGGAAUACAAAGAAGUCUAAUAAAGGUAUAACAAACCAAGAAUGGG
Long non-coding RNA from Sorex araneus (European shrew), 1034 nucleotides. RefSeq lists it as uncharacterized. The transcript has 4 exons. Lineage: Eukaryota; Metazoa; Chordata; Mammalia; Eulipotyphla; Soricidae. The record is from RefSeq and is a predicted model, not a curated record.